GAUGCUACCGGGCGACCGGAUGCGGAUCUCGAAAGCCUGUCCCAGUUCGGACUGGAGUCUGCAACCCGACUCCACGAAGUUGGAUUCGCUAGUAAUCGCGCAUCAGCCAUGGCGCGGUGAAUACGUUCCCGGGCCUUGUACACACCGCCCGUCAAGCCAUGGAAGCCGGGAGUGCCUGAAGUGCGUGAGCGCAAGCAGCGCCCUAAGGUAAAACCGGUGACUGGGGCUAAGUCGUAACAAGGUAAC
Molecule: ribosomal RNA, 246 nt
Filed under: uncultured bacterium
Lineage: Bacteria
Description: partial 16S ribosomal RNA
Rfam family: Bacterial small subunit ribosomal RNA
Source: RNAcentral